CGGAACGGGUGAGUAACGCGUGAGGAACCUGCCUCAAAGAGGGGGACAACAGUUGGAAACGACUGCUAAUACCGCAUAAGCCCACGGGUCGGCAUCGACCUGAGGGAAAAGGAGCAAUCCGCUUUGAGAUGGCCUCGCGUCCGAUUAGCUAGUUGGUGAGGUAAUGGCCCACCAAGGCGACGAUCAGUAGCCGACCUGAGAGGGUGAUCGGCCACAUUGGGACUGAGACACGGCCCAA
Molecule: ribosomal RNA, 238 nt
Filed under: uncultured bacterium
Lineage: Bacteria
Description: partial 16S ribosomal RNA
Rfam family: Bacterial small subunit ribosomal RNA
Source: RNAcentral